Molecule: ribosomal RNA, 912 nt
Filed under: uncultured archaeon
Lineage: Archaea
Description: bacterial SSU rRNA
Rfam family: Archaeal small subunit ribosomal RNA
Source: RNAcentral
UCCGGUUGAUCCUGCCAGACCUGAUUGCUAUCGGAUUGGUACUAAGCCAUGCGAGUAAGUGUAGCAAUACACUGCAGACGGCUCAGUAACACGUGGUCAAGCUAACCUAUGGACGUGGAUAACCUCGGGAAACUGAGAAUAAACCGCGAUAGAUCAUGAUGCCUGGAAUGGCUUAUGGUCGAAAUAGUUUACUGCCGUAGGAUGCGACUGCGGCCUAUCAGUUUGUUGGUGAGGUAAUGGCCCACCAAGACUAUUACAGGUACGGGCUCUGAGAGGAGAAGCCCGGAGAUGGGUACUGAGACACGGACCCAGGCCCUAUGGGGCGCAGCAGGCGAGAAACCUUAGCAAUGUGCGAAAGCACGACUGGGUUAGUCCGAGUGAUUCCUGCUAAAGGAAUCUUUUACCGGUCCUAAAAGCACCGGCGAAUAAGGGGUGGGCAAGUCUGGUGUCAGCCGCCGCGGUAAUACCAGCACCUCGAGUGAUCAGGACGUUUAUUGGGCCUAAAGCAUCCGUAGCUGGCUUUGCAAGUCUCCGGUUAAAUCAACCUGCUCAACAGAUUGGCCGCUGGAGAUACUACAAGGCUAGGGAGUGGGAGAGGCAGACGGUAUUCGGGGGGUAGGGGUAAAAUCCUCUGAUCCUCUGAGGACCACCAGUGGCGAAGGCGGUCUGCCAGAACACGUUCGACAGUGAGGGAUGAAAGCUGGGGGAGCAAACCGGAUUAGAUACCCGGGUAGUCCCAGCUGUAAACGAUGCAAACUCGGUGAAGCAUUGGCUUAAUGCUAAUGCUGUGCCGCAGGGAAGCCGUUAAGUUUGCCGCCUGGGAAGUACGGUCGCAAGAUUGAAACUUAAAGGAAUUGGCGGGGGAGCACCACAAGGGGUGAAGCCUGCGGUUCAAUUGGACUCAACGCCGGG